Stegastes partitus (bicolor damselfish) is the source of this 91-nucleotide long non-coding RNA. RefSeq lists it as uncharacterized. The transcript is spliced from 3 exons. NCBI's taxonomy places the organism in Eukaryota, Metazoa, Chordata, Actinopteri, Pomacentridae. The record is from RefSeq and is a predicted model, not a curated record.
GAGGUGCUUCUUCCCAGUGACGGUUUUCCCAGUGUUGGUGCUCGUAGGAGAAGAACUGAAGUGGUGGGCUCUAAUAAACUGCUGCAUGUUC